UAAAGAUUCAUCGCUGAUAGAUAGGCAUGCGUUCCAUUAGGCAGUUGGCGGGGUAACGGCCCACCAAACCGACGAUGGAUAGGGGUUCUGAGAGGAAGGUCCCCCACAUUGGUACUGAGACACGGACCAAACUCCUACGGGAGGCAGCAGUGAGGAAUAUUGGUCAAUGGGCGUAAGCCUGAACCAGCCAAGUCGCGUGAGGGAUGAAGGUACUAUGGAUCGUAAACCUCUUUUAUAAGGGAAUAAAGUGUGGGACGUGUCCUAUUUUGUAUGUACCUUAUGAAUAAGGAUCGGCUAACUCCGUGCCAGCAGCCGCGGUAAUACGGAGGAUCCGAGCGUUAUCCGGAUUUAUUGGGUUUAAAGGGUGCGUAGGCGGCCUUUUAAGUCAGCGGUGAAAGUCUGUGGCUCAACCAUAGAAUUGCCGUUGAAACUGGGGGGCUUGAGUAUGUUUGAGGCAGGCGGAAUGCGUGGUGUAGCGGUGAAAUGCUUAGAUAUCACGCAGAACCCCGAUUGCGAAGGCAGCCUGCCAAGCCAUGACUGACGCUGAUGCACGAAAGCGUGGGGAUCAAACAGGAUUAGAUACCCUGGUAGUCCACGCAGUA
Molecule: ribosomal RNA, 602 nt
Filed under: uncultured bacterium
Lineage: Bacteria
Description: bacterial SSU rRNA
Rfam family: Bacterial small subunit ribosomal RNA
Source: RNAcentral